AAGCGAAACACGGCAUACGUGCCGUGUCUGCCAGUCGUUGUGGACUGGUACUGACGAGCAGCGGAGA
Molecule: non-coding RNA, 67 nt
Filed under: Acinetobacter haemolyticus
Lineage: Bacteria; Pseudomonadati; Pseudomonadota; Gammaproteobacteria; Moraxellales; Moraxellaceae
Source: RNAcentral